GCUCCACCCUUCUUUCCAAACAUAACAGAUCUCUUUCUUUCUUAUCUUCUUAUCUCUAAUUCAGAUCGCAUUCAAAUUAGGUAGGAGAUAAAGACCAUGACUCAUCAUGCAUGCCACCCACCCUAUCUACGCCCUUUCUCCUCACACUCAAAAAUCACAUGAAAAAAUACUUUUGGCAUUAAGAAGAAAGGCAUGGGUCCAGCGUGGCCGCAACGGGGA
Molecule: long non-coding RNA, 219 nt
Filed under: Elaeis guineensis (African oil palm)
Lineage: Eukaryota; Viridiplantae; Streptophyta; Magnoliopsida; Arecales; Arecaceae
Description: long non-coding RNA (EGUI_LNC048724)
Source: RNAcentral